CGUGAGUGCCGCUUUGGGGACGGCGAUCGCUGCCCUUCUUUUCCCCUUUGAUCAGCAUCCACCCCCAGGACUUUCCCAGCGGCUCCUCGUGACCCCCGGGCUGCCUCCCGAAACGGAAAGGUUCCACAUUUGGACCCCAUCAGGCAGAAAACGUCAGGAUUUGGAAAUUCCGCUCUUGGAAGCCAAUCUGACACAUUCCACGAAUGCUUCAAUUUAUCCCUUUGUCGCAACGUUCAGUGAAGGGUUUGGGUCCGGCCGCCCUGUUUGGAUGGAGAACCCCGGUUCAGGUUUCUGCUGCGUGGAGGAGCAGUGCUGGAGUUGGCCAUAAACUGUGCUGCUGGAUGAUACGAGAGCACAUAACAAC
This is a long non-coding RNA of Gallus gallus (chicken), 364 nucleotides long. The record is from Ensembl. Lineage: Eukaryota; Metazoa; Chordata; Aves; Galliformes; Phasianidae.